CAGGCUGCAACUCGCCUGCAUGAAGUCGGAAUUGCUAGUAAUCGCAGAUCAGCAUGCUGCGGUGAAUACGUUCCCGGGCCUUGUACACACCGCCCGUCACACCAUGGGAGUCGGUAACACCCGAAGUCGGUAGCCUAACCGUAAGGAGGGCGCCGCCGAAGGUGGGAUUGAUGACUGGGGUGAAGUCGUAACAAGGUACC
Molecule: ribosomal RNA, 200 nt
Filed under: uncultured bacterium
Lineage: Bacteria
Description: partial 16S ribosomal RNA
Rfam family: Bacterial small subunit ribosomal RNA
Source: RNAcentral